This 415-nucleotide long non-coding RNA is filed under the name Solanum lycopersicum (tomato). RNAcentral's name for it is "partial TCONS_00109733". The record is from RNAcentral. Lineage: Eukaryota; Viridiplantae; Streptophyta; Magnoliopsida; Solanales; Solanaceae.
AAAUUGUAUUACAAAAUAUAAUUAUGAGGGUAAAGUUGAUCUGUACAUAUUCUAUGUUGCUUCAUGGUUACGAAUUGAUCGGGAACCUUAAUAAAAUCCCAUCAACAAGACAGUGAAGCUCUUUUCAUUUCGAAAAUACAUAAAAGAAAUCUAAUUUUCUCAACGAUCCAGAUAUGUAAUAUUUAAAAUUAUAUUACACAUCAAAGAGCAAGUUGAGUAUACAUUUAUAUAGCUUCAUGGUUACGAAUUGAUCAAGAACCUUAAUUAAUCUCGUCAACAAGACAGUGAAGCAUUAAAUAAUAUUCAAAGAAAGAUCGAUCGAUCAAUCAAUCUUCUAUUUAAUAAAAAAAAAAGAUAAUAAUUAAGAAGCCAGAUCUGGAGAUUAGCUCUUCUUCUAGACCAUAACAUAAUGAUA